RNAcentral lists this ribosomal RNA (376 nucleotides) under uncultured Novosphingobium sp. RNAcentral's name for it is "bacterial SSU rRNA". It matches the Rfam family "Bacterial small subunit ribosomal RNA", at positions 1003 to 1382 of the family's 1533-position model. The record is from RNAcentral. Lineage: Bacteria; Pseudomonadati; Pseudomonadota; Alphaproteobacteria; Sphingomonadales; Sphingomonadaceae.
AAGAGAUUGUGAGUCCUUCGGGACGCGGUGACAGGUGCUGCAUGGCUGUCGUCAGCUCGUGUCGUGAGAUGUUGGGUUAAGUCCCGCAACGAGCGCAACCCUCGUCCUUAGUUGCCAUCAUUUGGUUGGGCACUCUAAGGAAACUGCCGGUGAUAAGCCGGAGGAAGGUGGGGAUGACGUCAAGUCCUCAUGGCCCUUACACGCUGGGCUACACACGUGCUACAAUGGCGGUGACAGUGGGCAGCAAGCGCGCGAGCGUGAGCUAAUCUCCAAAAGCCGUCUCAGUUCGGAUUGUUCUCUGCAACUCGAGAGCAUGAAGGCGGAAUCGCUAGUAAUCGCGGAUCAGCAUGCCGCGGUGAAUACGUUCCCAGGCCUU